GACGAACGCUGGCGGCGUGCCUAAUACAUGCAAGUCGAGCGAAUCAAUAGGAGCUUGCUCCUGUUGGUUAGCGGCGGACGGGUGAGUAACACGUGGGCAACCUGCCUGUAAGACUGGGAUAACACCGGGAAACCGGUGCUAAUACCGGAUAAUCCUUUUCCUCUCAUGAGGAAAAGCUGAAAGUCGGUUUCGGCUGACACUUACAGAUGGGCCCGCGGCGCAUUAGCUAGUUGGUGAGGUAACGGCUCACCAAGGCGACGAGGCGUAGCCGACCUGAGAGGGUGAUCGGCCACACUGGGACUGAGACACGGCCCAGACUCCUACGGGAGGCAGCAGUAGGGAAUCUUCCACAAUGGACGAAAGUCUGAUGGAGCAACGCCGCGUGAGCGAUGAAGGCCUUCGGGUCGUAAAGCUCUGUUGUUAGGGAAGAACAAGUACCGGAGUAACUGCCGGUACCUUGACGGUACCUAACCAGAAAGCCACGGCUAACUACGUGCCAGCAGCCGCCGUAA
This 512-nucleotide ribosomal RNA is filed under the name uncultured bacterium. RNAcentral describes it as "partial 16S ribosomal RNA". It matches the Rfam family "Bacterial small subunit ribosomal RNA", at positions 28 to 523 of the family's 1533-position model. The record is from RNAcentral.